RNAcentral lists this ribosomal RNA (126 nucleotides) under Neogale vison (American mink). Lineage: Eukaryota; Metazoa; Chordata; Mammalia; Carnivora; Mustelidae. The record is from RNAcentral.
CUCUACAGCCAUACCACCCUGAACGCGCCCGAUCUCGUCUGAUCUCGGAAGCUAAGCAGGGUCGGGCCUGGUUAGUACUUGGAUGGGAGUCAGCGCUUUUCAAAUGAUGAAUGGGUGAUGUUUCAA